GAUGUAGCUCAACAGUAGAGAAUCUGCUUUGAAUGCAGAAGGUCCCAGGUUCAAUCCCAGCCAGAGCCA
This is a non-coding RNA of Podarcis lilfordi (Lilford's wall lizard), 69 nucleotides long. Lineage: Eukaryota; Metazoa; Chordata; Lepidosauria; Squamata; Lacertidae. The record is from the annotation of a GenBank genome assembly.